Molecule: long non-coding RNA, 469 nt
Filed under: Hordeum vulgare
Lineage: Eukaryota; Viridiplantae; Streptophyta; Magnoliopsida; Poales; Poaceae
Description: long non-coding RNA (HVUL_LNC007672)
Source: RNAcentral
AGAAACAUCUGAGGAGAAAUAGCCCAUGCACAUCUACGUUCUUUAAACAUUACCUCAUACACACUGUGAGGAGGGUCCCACAGUUACACUGACUAAACUGAGAUGGGAUUAUUGAAACUUGCAGAAAAAGGGGUAUGGUGCAAACGUUCAAUGUAUUGUGCUGAGAGGAGUAACACAUACAGAUGGGCGUCGAUCUCGUCUUUGUUAUGUCGUAAACAUCAUUGUCAAGUUGUGGCUGCUUGAAAGGAACAUAUACAUGGGGGCGCCUUGUUGUGGUUGCAGGCCAUGUUGAUCUUCAACUUUCAUCAUAUUUAUAAACCUUCCUUGAUCAACUGUGUAUGAUAAUUCAAAACCAUAGCUAUGACAUGAGAUAAAAGAAAAAAAUUGUCUACAGUUCAAAACUCAUAGUAGAACUAAUUGUACCAUGUCACCUACCUUUUUCUUGUCUAUCUUCAUGGUCUUUCCCUGC